This 22-nucleotide small RNA is filed under the name Arabidopsis thaliana (thale cress). RNAcentral describes it as "Ath_wt_20379". Lineage: Eukaryota; Viridiplantae; Streptophyta; Magnoliopsida; Brassicales; Brassicaceae. The record is from RNAcentral.
GCGCUUGGUUGAAAAGCCAGUG